Long non-coding RNA from Columba livia (rock pigeon), 16841 nucleotides. RefSeq lists it as uncharacterized. The record is from RefSeq and is a predicted model, not a curated record. NCBI's taxonomy places the organism in Eukaryota, Metazoa, Chordata, Aves, Columbiformes, Columbidae. The transcript is spliced from 7 exons.
UGAGCUGCAGCUUGAGGCCCGUGUUCUCACAAGAAUGAAGGCAGCAUUCAAGUUCAAGAUCACAGCCCCAUGACCAUUGCCUAUGACCUACACACUUGGAAGUCACAAGCCCCUAAGCUCUUGCUACUAGAGUUCUUGGUGUUCUGCUAUUGCCCAUGCCUGAAAUAGCUUCCUGUCGGGGAUUGGCUCAAGAAGCACAGACAUGAGUCCACCAAGCAACUGUACGAGCAGAGCCCAUUUUAGUUGACAUAAGUAGGCCUUAGUUAGCUUGUCUAUUAGGCCGUGGGAAAGGGGGGAACGGAAAAGUACUGACUAAAGCAGGGUCAGGAUAUUUUUGAAGAGAUAAGAGUCAGAAGAAUGUGGGAUGCGCAUAGCUAGCUAAACCCAAGUAGGUGGAGUAAGUAAAUGUGCUUAGCCUAUUAGAUAGAGACAAGUAUGCAUAAUUAUGGUAUUUGGUAUAAAUGCACGCUAUCUCGGGCAAUAAAGUUGAAGUAUGCUUUAUCACUCAUAUUGAGUCGGCUGCAUUUCUUCCUCCGUCCGCUCGGGUCUGGAACUCUGAUGGGACUUUUCUCUGCAGCUUCCUUAUUGCAUGGCUGGACAUCUCUAUGAUUAUCUUGCAUCUGCACUUUGAUCAGAAAUCAGAAUCUCUUCAGCUUAAUCACACAGUCACCAUUCAAGCAUAGCUAGCACAGGCUGCUUUCAGUGGAGACAAGCAGCAUAAUACAGUCAGUCACUCCUACAGUGCUCAGUGUCCUCUGACAGAGACGAGUGCUGGCCCCUGCGAGCCGUCUCCUUCACAGCAAGGAUGAGUCACUGCCCACGGGUGAACAGGGAACGCUGUGAUGACACUUGCCAUUGAAAGACAGUGAGGUGGAACAAACAAGUUCUGUUCCACAGCUACAGAAAUUGAAGUAUGCAAAAAGUCGCUGAGACUUUAAUGUCAUGGGAUCUGUGAACUGAAGGCCGCACCCCCGACCAUUACAAAGACACUGGAAGAAGUAUUAAAACAUUCUCAUAAUAUAAGAACCUCAAAAUAGUCUCACGGAAAGAAAGGUGCAGCUUACACCCUUCCUGCAAAGGAAGCCCAAAGAAAUAACUAAAAGUGAAAUUAGUUAUCACCAGGCAACUUCUAGUCCUCCUGGCUUAGUCUGGUAUGGUAUUUUCUGCACCUCCAGCAACUCCACAAUUAUUCUCCUGGACUUGGAAAAAGAAAUGAAAAAGCCUAAGAUGAGAAUGAAAUUCAUGCCAACAUAGUGGAGACUUUGAUUCUUCUUUAAGUCUCUCAUGCUGGAGAGUCAAUGCUCAAAGAAGGCGUGAAGUCAGUGUCAUGGGCUGGCAGUUCUAUUUUGUACCACAUUUGCUUGGAGGAGAGGUGCUCCAGCCCUCUGAUCAUCUUCGUGGCCCUCCUCUGGACUUUCUCUAGCAGGUCCAUGUCCUUCUUAUGCUGGGAGCCCCGGAUUUGGACACAGGACUCCAGAUCACUGCUGGGGACCCAGCUGCGAAAAGCGACAUCCCUUGUAGUGACACAGCGUAGUGCUCCCGGAGCUGCGUAAGUCCCUGUUAUGGGAGAAGGAAGGAAGAGUACGAAGAGGGCUGGCAGCAGUCUCCAAAAGGAGAGUGGGGAGGAGGCCGAAACAGCAAGUCCACUUGUCUAAAUUGGAGACUUAAUGAAAGAAGUUGUGCCUUCCCUGAUUCCAGGUAGCGGAAGAAAAAUCCCUCCCCAGUUAAAGGCUGCACAGGAUACUGUCUGCUGCUUUUUUCUUACUGGCAAUUAAAUAAAAGUGGCUUUUCAAUGAGCUCCGGUGUGACCUUCAAUGCUCUUAUCAAUGCUUUGCUUUUUGUAUUUUCAGGACAUCAUUCUCCCUCUGCAGUUGUGUGCUAAACAAUUUAUAAACUCCUAAGCCUUGCUUAGAAAACAUUUUCAAAAGGGUUAUCCUUUCACAUAAUUUCUUUGUAAUACGAUAGUUAUCAGCUCCUGCCACCUUAUUUUAUCAGUCUGAACUUUCCUUCUCAAUUCCAGCUCUUAACUGUACGUACCACCAUUUCUUGCACCUUUUUACAAUGUCCAUGUUAUUUAAGUGAAAAAUAGUUAAGUAAUGGAUGGUGUGCUCUAAAAUAUGUUGCGCUGAGUGUGCUCAUACUGCAGAAGGGUUGGUUAAAUGGCAAAAGGGCCACCCCUCAGCCGUUACUUUCCUUAUCUACACCAGUCUCACUUAGGAAACAAAAAAUUGGACUUCUCUUUACUUUACUUCUCUGGUAUUGAAUUUGAUCAUAAGUGUUUGAGCUGCUCCGCACAUCAUCUCGAGCAAACUCCUGAAGUUUGGGUGUCCUCCCUUCUAUCCUCUUCUCCCCCUUCCUUCUCACUCUUUAACCAGUGCAUUCAUGGGGAGGCUGAAGCCCAGAUAAGAUGCCCCUCUGCAUUAAAGUCCUCGAUGUAGACCAAACUGAUAGUGAGACAGAACUUGUGGUUUCUUCCUCUCCAAUCUAUAUCCUUCCUGCAAGCAAUCGGUUUGAGUACGUCUGCCAAUAACAGAAACCUUUUUUAAUUGCUUCUUGGACUUUGGCAGCGCUUUGCUUAAAACCCAUUCCUUCUUAGCUGUUGUAGAUGCUGCCAGGUGCCCUUGGAUGUGAUUUUGUUGUGCCCUUCAGGUCAUACCCCUUUUUUCUAUCUGUAACUAGAACAUUGCUGAAGAAGAAGAGUUGGCCUCGUUGCUCUGCGGAAAUAGAAGUGGAGAGGCUCAGCAGCUCACGAGGUUGUCUGAGUUGCCUCUGUCUGAGUGGCCUGGAUGGAGAAAGGGUAGCAGCAACAAGCAUGCUGCAGAAUUUGCUUCAAGAAUGCCCUUAGUGAGUGCAUCUUUGUGAGGAAGGCUAAAACCAAGGAAGGACACACACGUUUCUUACCGGGGUUUAAAGCCUGGGUGGCCACCAGCUUCCCCUGUUCUGUGCCAGGCCCAGCGAGCCGUAGUGCCCACAGGCUCAAUGGAAUCUUAGUUUUCCCCUGGGGCUGCCAUUUGCCCUCAAUGAGAGAACAAGUUCAAAUUUCAUUUGAAGCCAAAUCCACAGGAUGUUUCUUGCUGUUGCAGAAAAGACAGAGAGCUCCAGAAUAUCUAGAAUAACAUAGAUCCAAAGUGUUUUGUAUUUGCAGUUGCUUGAUUUUGGAGGUGAGGCUGACUCAAGACUUUCUGUGCUUGGCUUGGCGAAGUUCACCAGCUUUUCCCAGCUGGGCUGUGUCUCAUGCCUCAGCCUCCGAAUAUUCGAAUAUUCAUCUGCUUCCCUCCAGACAUGUGACCCUGCAAUGCAGAUUACAGGUAGGAUAUAUUUUUGUUUCUUUUUUACCUGGUAAAAUAUUUUCCCUUUGUAUAGUUCGGUGUUAUCUAAACAGUUACUGUCUUUUUGUGUCAUUUUGGAACACAGGUUGAUUCUGCAGACAGUGCAGCACACAGCAUUCAAUGUUUAAACUUUCUAUUCAGCUACAUCCAGACACCACGGCCUUGAAACAAAUGUGUUACAUCACAGUAAUAACCCACUGCAGAGAAAUAAAACUGUUUAUAGUUACUGGAUUUAGUAGAUUAUGUUCACAAAGUAGCUAUUUGAUUCUUUUAAUUUCUUGUCAUAUCCUAUUCUGUUUAAAACUUGAUAUCCUAUUUUUAUCAGAACAGGUGCCACAACUGUAAUGACUGAGACACAGUAUCUCAUUAUAAUAAUAAAAAAAAGUUUGCAGCUUAUUGUCAACUUUCAUAAGACAAUUUGCAGACAGAGCAGGAAAGAGCAGUCAGGUUCAGGAACCUGAUGAAGAAUACAGAGAAAUGUUAAAUAAAUUAUUAGUUAUGCAUUAUUAAAAAUAACAUUCACACUCCUAUAGCUCCUCUCAGACAAUGAACUCAAAGACAUUUAUAAUUAAUUUCACAACGCCAUGUAGGUGAAGGGACUAUGCCACAUUGUUUUUAUGAGCAAAGAGCUGAGACAUUGAGAAGCGGAGUGUUUAAAGUCAUGUAGACCCCCCUGAAUAGCAGCAGGGAGCUUUUCCCAAAGGGCACUCCACCAGGUAACUAAUGUGGGCAGGCAUCCUGAAUGGUUUUCCAGGUUUUAGGCUCCUGGAUCUGGGACCGUCUGUCUGUCCUGGAUUUGACUGGAGUCUGGCCCAAUGAGGUCAUCAGAUUUGCACACUGAGACACUGACCCAGCAUCCCUAACUCUGUGAGAUAUGGGCUGUUCAACUCAUCAUCCCAAAACCCGGAGUCACCAAAAAGGCACCUCACAGUGCAACGCUGUGACAGGGCGCUGGGGUCUCCUGUCACUGUCAUUGAAGCCUGAAACAUUGGAAUGCUGCACAGAAGAGGAAACAAAACAGCUACAACUCACAAAUGCUGGUUUAAUUCGUGGAUGGGGGAGCUGGGACUGGAAACUAUAAUGCCACAUGCUGGCGGGAGGCAGCAGGGCAGUGCUAGUCUGACCUGCUGACAUGCAGUGAGGAAAGCAGUGCUCUGCUGCUGAGCCCAAUGAGAAAAUGAAACUUCUACCCCAAAUAAUUUUGUAACAUAGCAUAUUUAAAAAAAAAAAAAAAAGCAAUGACAUUCGCUGACAAUAACAUUACGCAGAAACACAACUGAGUAUUUCAUCAGGGCUGAAGUCAACUGUGCAGCCCAGAUUACUUCCACUGUUGUAGACGGUGUUGCAGAGAGUGCUGUGGGAAGCAGUAUUUUGGGAAACAGCAUGGUUAGAGAGCCUGAGCCCUGUCAAGCCAGGAGAGUGUGACUUGCUCUCCUUUCCCCAGCACUGCUUGGGUUUGCAAAUGGCUGAUGUUUCUUUUUCCCAGCUUUCAGCCUUAUUUUAUUACUCGUUGGAAAUUGAGACAAAUUGCACUGCACCUGUGGUAUCCUAAGACAGUGUUCCUUAUCAGGCAAAGACAAUCUCUGUGUGAAACAACACAUCUAAAUCUGUCCUUACAUUACCAUCCUUGCCCAGGUGAAGGUGUCUGCUGCACCUGCUCACUGUGCCACACAGUGAAGUCCUGAAGGCAGAAAAUUAUAUUUUUGGUUCUGUUCUUUAAACGUGCAUCUUUUUUCCCCUCCUUCUAAAAUUCUGUUUAUUAUCUAGUCGUGUUUCAAAGAGGCAAUGAAUUUCUGCAUUUAAAACCCUUUCUCAGAAAGUGUUGGGCUUUCUUGGUAAAGAGACAGGUAGGAAGAACCCGUUCCAUUUCAAAUCUCUGAAAAUAAAGCUCCUGGCACAUUAUUGUUGCUUCUCUUGAUUUGCCUUUAUUUAAGGUGUUCCAGGGGUUUGUUGCAUCUGUAUCUGGCAAGAAAUACAUGCAAGAUGCCCCUGGUAUUGGGCUGUGAAAGGUCUAGAGAGUGCCAGGGAAAAGGACAAUCAUGAUGGGCACCCACCUCCUCCUGGGUUGGUGGGCUUCCUCCAGGACAUGCACUUUGGAUGGUGAAAACAGGUGAUUUGUAUUCAGAUAUUGCCAGGACUCCAGCAGCUGAUGGAUGAAAGAACAAAGUGAUUCUCGUGAGGGUUUGUGUAUUUUGUGAUCGUGAACUUUACCUGCACUAAAUAUUCGGUUUCCAUCCUCAAAGCGCCAUCCUUUUCAUAGGAAAUGUUAUGUUAGCACUUGUCCUGCAGCCUUCUACUGACUUAGGGGAUAAAUACUCUGCAAUGAUUGCUCAUAAAAUCAGCUAUGUGAGGAUUUCAUGAAUAUUGGGAUAUUCUUAAUCUGGUGAAUAGCUGACUUUUAUUUGUGUGUUUGUGAAAGAGCGUGAAGAGAAGAAAUCUGUGACGAGCAAUUGCCAUAUUAAUAAUUUAUUUGACAUAAAACUAUUUUGUAUCUUGACAAAAAUCUCUUAUCCCUAUGAAAGCAGAAGUUCCUGAGGCAGUGCAGUUAGCCUCUAGAGUAAUAGGCUUUUUUCUUACCUUCUUUUCUCAUUUUUUAAUAACAAUCUUAUUUACUCUAUUAGACUUCAUCAUUAAUCACUUGUUAGGAGUUUUCUGACUCUACCAGCAAUUAUUUUACCAUAAAGCACCACGUAUUUCCAGACUGAACAGUAGACUACAUAUUCCCCAAUUUGUAAUAAAAAAUAUGUCAAGAAAACUUUUAUGAUUUGUGAAUAAACAGAAUGGAUGCAGGAUCUGAACAACAGAAUGAUGUACAGGUUUGGGAUUUUAUUGCAUUUUUACCACAUGAGAAAAUGACAUUAGGAUUAGAAGGAAAAUAUAUUCUGAAAAUCAGAAAAGGUUACCUCAACUUUUUUGUAGUUACAAGACAUUAUUCAAAUGAGAUAUUUUUAUACCCAUUAGGAAGCCAUCCAGGGUUUAUGCAGAUUUGACAUUUUCUUCUUUCUUUGCUAUUUGUAUGUGGAGCCCAGGGUGAACAGCCUACUUUUUGUUUGCUCUCUCUAAAUAUCUUUGUCUGGGCAGCUGUUGAUUCAGGCCCUGCGAAUAAAUAAAAUGAGGAGGACCUCCUGCAUGAUUUAAAAAUAAAUGCUAUUUUCUGAAUCUCGACUUGCCAUUUGUGGUGUUAGCACUAUCUUACUUAGACAAAUAAACGGCCUAUUCUCCCUCCUCACGAAAUUAUUAGCUUUUCACUUGCAGAAGCUGCAGGAAGUGAACUUUGCUGACACUAAUGGGAGGUGAUGGCGGGCGAGGGAAGAUGCUGCCUUUGUCCAAGAGGAGGAGAAGCUCUGUGAGCCCAGCACGCCCGCAGCGCUCCGGCUGCCUGCACGGCUUUCAUUCUCCAAGUGUUUGUGAGUGUUACUGAGGGAAAUCAAAGACAAAGUCCUUUAAGACUUCAGUCCUGUCACCCCCCUGCUCGCUGCCUCUCAUCAUCGCUUAUAGUGGACUGUUCACACAAAAAAAAACAGUGCUCACCCAGUGCACAAAUUGAAAAAGGGGGUCAGGUGGUAGAAAAUGCAUUAAUUCAUAAUAAGAAUAGCAACAACAAUUCUAUUAGCCUCAUUUUGCACAUAUGGAAAUGGAGGCAUGAAAAAGCACCACGUGCUGAAGCUGGGAGCGGCAGCUGGGGCUGCGGCUGGGACACUCCCCUUUCCAGGUCUCUCUUCUAACAACUAGACUACUUUGUGCCAUCCCAGCAGGCAAUUUCUGCCCAAUAUUCUUUAUUUAGCAUGACUAUAACCUGCCAAGAGAGCCUCACACAGCUACAGCUCUUUGAGGUAUCCUCACUGACUCUCAGCCAUGUUUGCACUGCCUCUUGAGGAGCACCAGGCAGUUUGGAUGAACGCUCCUCAGCUGGCAGCUCAGUGACUGUGUUUGCAUGAUGUAGCUCACCUGAGGCCUUUGUUACAUCCCAUUGACAUGUUGAAGGCUACCAUGCUAGCUGCACCCUGUACUGAUGUUUUAGCUCUCAUUUCUUUCAGACAGUCCAAACCUGGACAAAAUAAUAGAGACAAUAUGUCAUGCUCCUGUGCAAUAAUAGGAAGAGUUGGAUAUGGAAAGAUAUUAGUUUGAGGCUGAAGGUGCUAAGAGUACCAGAAAAAGUGCUAAGCAUGUUCAGUAUCUGUUGCUCUCAGCAGGAGCAGAGACUCUCAGCUUCUCCUAGAUGACACCGAGUACUCAUCGAGAUCACCCCAAUUGUGAAAUCCAUGCUCCUUGGCUGGCAAAAUGUAAGGAGACGUGAGGAAAGCUGUCAAAUAAAAAGUGGAACAGACACUGUGGCUUCACCAGAUAUGGAAGAAGCCUGGGAAACCCUACAUUUUUAUUUGAAUAACACAUACAAAUGUACUCUGUGAAAAAUGCUGCCCCAUGGCUGCAAAGGCCAAAUGAGACACUGGAGCUCCAGUCUCCAGGUCUUAUGUGGGUUGUCAGGGUCCCAGGGUGGGUGGCUGCUCUGUCACCCCUCCCUCCCACUCCAGCAGAGUGAUGAUGUGUGUGUGUGCAAUGGGAGAGCAAACCAUUAAACUGGGAAUCUUCGCUACAAUAAUGUUUCAACAAUCUCUUCAGGGCUCCCUGUUGUAUUAGCUUUUUGCCAGCUAAGAAGGAUUUGCAAGUGAUGGGAGGUAAGGCUGCUGAUUUUUAGGUAGAUCUGGAAGGACUCUUGUGUUGACUGUGUCCUCAUUAAUGCUCUUGAGGAGCACACUUCUGGCACAUCAAAGUACUUAAAUAAGUGCCACUUCAGUGCUAUUUAGCACACAUUCAAUACUUGAAAUUAGAAAGAAACUUUCAAGUCCUGACUCUGAUCCAGGAGUUAUUUGAUGGAGUAACGUUAUCACCUGAUUUCUGUUCAGAUCUCUCUGCAAUUUUACCUUUCUCCAGUAUUAUCUGGGAGUUUGGUCCUCACAGUUUCUUUUUCUUCUUCUUCUACAUGGCCCAUAUGUAACUGCUCCCAGCACACUCCAUCCCUUUCAUGCUCCAAUCCGGUCCUGCCAGAGGGAGCUCAUUGCCACGUGGUGUCCAGCAGGUCUUAUUGCUCUGGCAGGAGCUCAAAGUACCUGUCAGUGCAUCUGCAGCUUCCCAUAGUCAAAUGAACAUUUGAUAGAACAUGGAAAUGACUCAUGGGGGUGACACCUAACAUGGUUAUCAAGGCCCUACCUGUGAAGUUGCCAGUCAUAUGUCCUAUUUUCAGUACAUUCCUUUUCUUCCUCUAUUCUCUCAGUUCUUUCCGAUACUGUCUAUGAUUUUUGUCCCCCAGCACCUCCACAGCACAGUGCCACCUAAGAUCCCAUCUCCCCAGCAUCACUUCCUCCACAGUUCUUAAGUGCUUCUUGGUGUGAUGCACUCCCUGACUGUGUGAUGCACUCAGCUGGCUUGUGUCUGUCUGUCUGCUGUCACACAGGGCUACAUAAGCAAAGUUCUGGCUACUGGUGCAGACCUUUCACCUUAUCUGGGCCCGUUCAUGCUGAAGCCAGCGCAGCAGGGCUCAUGAUGGCAGUGUGAGCUCACACACUAGGAGCACAGGAUUCCCUUGGACAAUGUAAGCUCCCCUGUAGGGUACAGAUACACAACCUUGUACUUGUCCAUGGACAUCCUGUGCCAUCCAAUGCUGGCUGUCUGGAUGCUGCUAAGUCCAGCUGUCUGUUUGUGACAUGUAGGGACACAAAAUGGAAAGCUGUGGCAGAGUGCUGUGAUGCACAGUGAACAGGUGCUGCAGAGGAGAUGGGUCUGCAAGGUGUCCAAAUAGAAUGUCUCAUGCUUAGCAGGGGCGAUGUAGCAGGGCUGCUGUGAACAUCUUGGUGAGGAUUGUUCUAAGCAAUCUCUGUUGUCACCGUACAUAUUAGAAAUCCCGGAGAGAGACUGAAAAUGUUUUGGAGUUUCCAGUGUGUUAGAGCAGGAGGCAGUGGAGACAGAUAAAAGUGAAUACUACUCAUGUCUGCUGUUGUCGUCUUCUCCUAAACCUCCAGAACGUAGGAAAAGGACAUCAGAUUAAAUACAAUUUAUCAUCAGGCUGGAAAAGGAUUAAAUUCCUGCUAGUCAGCAUAGUCAAUUAAAUGAAAUUUAGUUUUCUUUCCAAAUGUGUGCACAGGACAUACCCAAAGCGUCCAGCUGACAAACCCAAGCAAAACGGACCGGUCUGCAUUUCUCUUCAAGCAAAUGGCAAAUCUGAACCACUUCCAGAGAUAGUGGUCGCUGCGUGGCAAAGCUGGCCAGACCUGGUCAAAGCUCAAGCAGAUGGAGCUGAAGCUUGUCUGAGGAAUGCAUAUCUCUGGGAAAAGCCAGGCUUACGCAGUCCGCAGCUGGAGGAGGAAAGGAAUGCUUUUGGGGUCAUGUAGACCAAACCGUCUAGAAACAGAACAUGAAGUCAAGGACAGUGCAAGUGCUGCAUGGCAGGAUGAACACUUCUUGAGAGAAAAGAUUAAACUAGGUCAUAAAAACUAAGGAAAGAAGAGAAACCACACUAUUUAUUAGUGAUUCCUAGGUUGCUCAGUAGCCCAUAUCAGGUGUCUGAACCAGAGACAGAUUUCACAGUGAUUAGAAUUAUUCCUAAUUUCAGCUCAUUUUUAAGAAAAAAACCCUUAUUUUUUGCAAGUCUUAUCACAGAAACUAAAGGUAUUAUAUAAGUUGUCAUGUGCUAGCCUGCUUCAGUGGCAAAGCUGGGCUGUAACUCCCAGCAAAGUGUCACAGGUCCCUUUCAUUCCCCCACUGGUGGCAGGUGUGCCAGCCAAUGGGGGUGGCAAUCAGCUCCCCAUCCUUUGGGAGCAUUCAAAGCACCCACGUCUUCCCAACAACUUUCUUUUAAAGGUAAGAAAGACAAACCUUAAAACAACAUCCUGAGAUGUCUGUUGAGGUUUUUAUCAAGUGAACGUUUAGCUGCUUAAAGCUUUAUCAAAACCUGACUGGAGGUGCUAUAUUCAUACUGAAGCUUAUCCUUGUAACAGAGCAGCUCUGACUGUGGUUGGGAGCACAAUGAGGUGGUUGGUUUCUUCUUGUCAGGUGAGAUUUCCUCAUCCUGGGAGCGCUCUCAUUUCCCAGCAGCCAUGAAGGUCUGUCAUAGCUACUGUUUCUCUGAUGUAGGCCGUUUCAUGACCUAAGUAGAGAUGAAAACAUUGGUACAGAACCCUGAACUCAGGAUUGUUGAAAAAAGUUGCUCUACUGCAGGUGUAAUCGACUGAUGGGAGGCACAAUUGCUGACUACCUGCUGUGGAGGUGUGUGGAAAGAGCGUGAAAGAAGCACUCAUCUUUCUUGUAUCUAGCUCCUUUGCUGCUGUUAAAACUAAUCACUGUAGUCAGCAUGUCUCGUGAUGUGAACUCCUGAAGGGACAGAAAAGUGUUAUGCCCGUGUCUAGCACUGACUUCCAGACGUGCAUGGUGACAAAGACGAGAGCAGCACUGCUCCCAGCAGUGUGGCAGCAUGACAUUCCCCUGUGCUUUCUGGACCCCUUAAAGGCCCACAGAUUUAUGGUAAACCACAAACUAUUCAAGGCCUGUUAAACUACCUGCUGUGCUGUUUUAAACCUGAGCUAAAGUGGGGCUUUCAGAGAGGGAAGGAGAAUUUGUCUUCUGUACAUUUUAGAGAGCCAUGUAACAAGAGCAUUUAUUUUUCCUCAGGGUGCUUGAGUAGACUUGUAUGGGUAAAGUUUUUCUGUUUGCACAUGGUUAUAAAUGUUAUUGUGCUGCUACGUAACUUAAUCUUGGAAAAGUCCUCUAUGUUACCAGGGGAAAAUCUCCAAGAGACACAGAGGAGUCUCUUAGUAUAACAUAAGAAUAUGGUUUCCUAUCAAAAAAACACUUUUCAAGUUUUCUCUUAUUCUUCCUCAUUCAAGAGAUUUGUGCCUGAAUUACCUCUGUUUGCCCAGAAAGAAUAGGUAUUUAGCCAGAAAUGAAUUUACUUACAAUGUAUGUUACUUUACAUUGUGUCAUUGGCUUAUGUUGCAGCACAGUAGGGUGCACCAAGAUAACAUGAAAUGGCGUUACAGGUGAUGAUGUGACAUGAGUGAUGAAACAUCCCAAGAAACAACUCUCCUUCCCCUUCAAAAUCAAAUAGCAGUCAUUACCCAGUCUUUGUUUCAAGUUUAAGUUACCAUCUAACAGGAAAGUCAUCUAUUGUGGUGGUGGUGGGUUUUUGCUUUCAAAGGCAUUGGGGCAAUCUGAAGCUUCAGCUGAGUUGGAACCAUUUUCUGAGAUUGCUGAGUAUGUCUAACUUUUUCUUUAAAGAUGAUGUUGUAUUCUGGCAGACAGUAUCAGACUUGUCACAUAAUGCCAGGGGUCUGAAAGUUUCUGAGCUUUGCUUGUAAUUGCUUCAAAACAAAUCUGUUUGAUGAAUAUAUACACAAGUGCUAAUAAAGAUAAUAAAGAUUAUCAUAGGUGUGGCUGCAAAGUGUAAAUUACCUAAGUCAUUUAUAAGUUGCCGCAUAAUGUUUAUUUACCACUAAUUUUCUAUAUUUUGCAAAUAUCAUCUACCCUUGCAAAACAGGGGUGCCCAUUCCACCCACCUUUCCCAGCGUUCGGUUACACUGGGGUCUAAGGAACUUUUGGAGAGUUGUUUCCUUCAGUGCCUACAGCUGCUGCCUGAUUUGAAGACAGGGGCUACUGGUGGAUGUCUUGCACAUUUGUAGUAACGAUAUCGCUGUAUUACACUGCAGAGAUUUUUGGUAUAUGACCUUGGCAUGGCUUGUGGUCCUCUGUGUAUUAGCCUGCCUUCCCAGGAUUUGUGUUGAAUUUCAGAUCUUGUGUUCACCCAAGUAGCUACCAUUUAAUACCAUAAUAAAUAAACGCUUUGUAAUGACAAAGCAUUUUAAGCCUGUCCCUUAGACACUGCAGGAUUGUAGGCAGAAGUCAGAAGCUUUUAAAGCUUUUCUACUGGGCCUCCCACGUCAGCACCUCUGGAAGAACCAACAAUUACAUCCUUAAAAGCCAAGACAGAAACAUGCAUCUGUUUCUGUUCUAACAGUUAAAAAAAUAUCAAUGGCUAUACAUUUUAGGUGAUCAUGGCUUUAUCUGAACCUUGAACUGUUGGCUUAUGGUAAUUCACAGGAAUAAAAAUAGCCUUGGGAUAUGUUCCUAAAUUAGCUUUUCUGUGGUAUCUCAUGUACAAAUAGACCAAAGUCUCUUGACUGAUGGUUUUAUGAGCCUUGGUUAGGAUAUUCUAAAUUUCCUGUACAUAAGGAUUAAUUAGUUCAUGUGUAAUAGCUUUAAAUGUACUUGGCAUUAUUAUAGGCAAAAUAUGGAACCGAUAGUAGCAUAAAAUAAUAUCAAAGCUAAAAUGUAAAGUUUUGGCAAUUGCUUUAUGGUUAUUUAAACUGAAGAAGCUAAAAAUGACAUUAAAUUGCUGGGGUGGUCUACUUGCUGGAACAAAGUCCCUGGCUCAUAAUGAGUUUGCCCUUUCCAUAGUGCUGAGCAAGUUUUGCAUCCUGCUGUUUCUUCUUGCAUCCCAUUUCUAAUGGCUCCAAGACUUGCCUUUGAAGCAACAUAAUCAGUUUCACUGGCAGAAGACAGGGAAAUAAACAACAUUUUAAUGUGCUGAUAUAUUCACAUCACAAUUAAACUUAAUGCAUUAUGUGUUUGGAAGAGAGCUUUUUACUAUAAACUCAUUGAUUGGAUCUCUUUUUUGUUGUUUUGUUUGUGGUGGGAUUUUGGUUUUUUGGGGUUGGAUUGGUUGGUUUUUGACAUUUUAUACAGAUACAAGAUCUACUACGGAGUGUUUUUCAGCUAAGGCUUUAUGAUCCUUUUGUAAACCAAACAUAGGAAGGGAAAAAUCUGUGCACUAAGCAAUUGCUGUAACUGACCAACAGUUAAAUAUAGCACAUGUACAUAUCGUUCAGUUAUUCAGUGUAAUUCAGGAUAUGUUUACUUGAUAGUUUUGUGAUAUAAACUGCUUUAUCCGGUGACAUAUCUCCCAGAUUUAACCUACUUACAGAUGCUUAUGAGCAUUUGCUGUUCCUGAGCAUUCCUAAACUCUGAAAACAUCAAUAGGGAAAUUAUACCAGCACAGGAAUUCAAAUGCUAUGGGGGAGUGACUGGAGAUACAAGUCUGUCUACGACUUGAAAAUCAGUGUUCCUUGGCUUUUGCUUCCUUCACCUCCUAAGGCACAAAGACUUUUGCUUUUAUUUAUAAAGGGGCAUUUUGCAUUUACAUUUGCCAUCUGCUUGCUUAUUCCCAGAGAUGGGUGGGAUAUCAGUAAGCUACGACUCUGCGGGCAGCAGAGCCCAGCGGUGCGAGUCACAAUGUGUGUGCACACGGGCAUCUGCCGGGAACUGGAAGUCUGCAGCAGACCUGAACUCUAAAUAAAUUCCAACAGGCAGAGAAAAUUGUGCAAGCUGCCUGAUUUUCCAGCCCUCUGAGGAAAAUUUGCCCUUUCUUUGAGUCUGAUUUCACCGUGGCUUUGUGCCCCAUAUUUUAUAUUGCUGUGUGCAAUAUAAAAUGUUUCUCGUCUGCAAACAUGCUAAAAUGGCAAUUCUGAGACUUCAUCUGGCGCAGGUGAGGAACAAGGUGGGGUCUCACAAAGCCUUUUAUUUGGGUUAUUUAGCUUCUCGAUAGGCAGCUGCUUUUCCCUUGGACUUAUCUUGAACUGGUUUUUGACCUGCAUGUCAGACUGUUGAGUUCUGUCCUUGCUGAAGGGGCAUGGCUGGUACCUGUCAGUGGGUUUUUCACAGCAACCACUUCUUGUUGUUUGGAGUGAAACAACAUGUCCUAGUUCAAACGGGUUGGUGCAAAGGGUUCUUCUAAUCUCUGUAUUUCAUGUUCUCUCUGCUAUGGAAACAGUGUAUUUGGUCAAAACUAACAGGCACAGGUGCCAGUGACAGCUCUGGUGACAAGAGGCAAAGUAGGUAUUGCCUAAAGGAGGCAAGAUGGCCAUGGUCCUACCCAGCUGUGGCAGAUCCUCGUGAUAGUUCAGCUGCUGGUGUGGGGGUACAAUGAGUACUGACUGGUUGGAGGGCAGGUGAAGGGAGGUGGGACAUGAAUGAACUUGAAAUCUUCCAUCAGAAAGAAGACAAACAUACAGUAAUGAGAGUGACAAGAUACAAAAUCUUUCAUGGAAGAUGCUGUUGCUUUUUUGUACCAAAACUUGCAGGUGCUCUAACAGGUAAUGGCUAGUCAAGCACAAACCGGGAUCAUUGAAAAGAGCUCCUGGCUUAAAAUGUUUGGCCUAUGUCAUAUAUCAGAGAUCAGGCUGAAUGACCAAAACCUCUCUCCCUCCGGCCUACAAAGACAUGAAGAAAUGAAAUAAAAAAACUGCUACCACCAGCAACAACAAAAUGGCAUUGUUGUCCAAAUUCUUACAGAGACUGAACUGGCAUCUCAUGGCAAACUGCGCCUGUCCUGCCCAACAUCUGAGGAUGCUUUUUGCAGCCAAUAUGAUCCACAACCCCAGAGUGUGAAUUCUGAUUAAUUUCAGCCACAGUUUUGUGGCUGGUGCUUGGCUAUUAACAUCUUGCGAAACAAUCAAAAUCCAUUAAUAACCUAACCCUUCAUUAGCAACUUUUACAUGGCUUCAUCCAUCAGGAAGGCCUCAGCAAGAGGCCUGGCCUGAAGACUGCAAUUGGUGAUAACAGCCAUAAACUGUACAGACCUUUCCUGCCAGGACAUAGAACCUUCAAGCAAUUCAACCUUCAACCUCUCAGCAAUUUGCUUUGAGCUUCCUUCCAGGCAGCACUGUGGACACCAUCUCCUCUGUGGAUUAAGAACUUGUUUGUACUGGUUUUUAAUUAUAUUUUAUUUUCUGCUCACAAGGGGCUUUAUAAAUGCUGGCUGGACAUAGUGGAGCUGUGCUGCAGGUUAGAGGAAAAAUUAUUUCUAUGCUACAGAAACGCUGCUUGCAAUAUUAAGGUCACACUGUCCUAACAUGAUCCUACUGCAGAGAUGAAUACAGAUUCCGAUGCAUCGUGUAGUGCUGUGUCGUCCCCAAUUAACUGAAGGCGGUUUGCCCCAGGGCCCGACGAUUCAUCUGUUCCUGGGAGCUUGCAUCAACAUACAACAAAAUUGAAAGAUUCUUCAACAACAAACAGCCUGCUCAUUCAUCUGUUGUUUUGUUGAGGUGCUGUUCUCGUUACCACAUUUGGUGCAAUUUGUAUGUGUGAUAGUCAUAAAAAAAAUUACUGUCGCAUCCUUGCUUUGGGGCACAAAAGAUCAACAAAGCAAAUAGGUGCUGCUUUAUGGGGCAACGAAAAUGCACCAAUUUGGAUGCUGCUCAUUAGGGAGCUAAAAAGGUUUUAAUCCUUAUUUAGAAUUUUGCGUGCUUGUGUGUCUUUUGUUUUCAGUUUUUAUAAUUAAUUUGCACAAGCAUCCUGUGUAAAGGGUUCCUCACCAUACAUGAGCCUGCUCCCUUUCAUCCUCCACACAUCCCCCAAUAUUGAAAGAGUAAUAAUGUUGGAUCUGUGUUCUGAGCAGUACUGCUUGCUGAAAAGAAUUAUUCAGAUCAUUUACUUGAGCAGUGAUCACAGUAAGUGGGAUCUUACAAGCACCUAUGAGGAAAUAUUGAGCUGCCACACUGGAUUAAAAGCUGAAGCUGUAUUACUAUUUUCUGUUCCAGUUCAUGAGGAAAUAAUCUUAUUUACUAUGCAAUUUAAAAAAUACUUUGAGUUAAUAAUGCAACCUUCAAAAAUUCUCGAGAGUUGUGUUUAAACUGCUAAGACAAACAUUUUCUUUUCUGGUAGCUUCCUAAGUUAAGAGCUGUCAACUGGGAAGACAUAAGCACAGAGAUCAAAGGAUGGGACUUGCAUAUAAAUUCUUCCUUUUUAGCAGAAAGUAAAAUGUUAUUUAGGUAAUGAAAAUUACCGAUAACUAAGGCUCUCUCUUAAUUAGUUUGUGAACGUAUUUCCAGCAAUGUAAAGAUCAAUGUGGAAAAACAAAAUUUCCAUUAAAGAUGCUACCUCUGUUCAGCCAAUAAUGCGUUCGCAUUUCACAAUGUGAUGUGACACCAGCUGAUGGUGUUUCUGUCACCAACCGGCUGCUCCGUGGCGGAGCCCAUGGACACGCUGCUCAGCUCCCCAGCAGCUGCCUUCACCGACAAGAGUCAUACGGAGAUGAGGGCGGGGAAGUAACACACAGUAAAAAGACAUAAUAUUCAUAAGCAUGUUUAGGGUUGCUCCCUAAGUCAAGAUAACCCCUGGAUGUAUCAGAGAAACAAGAAAAUAUUUUAAAGGCCUGUUUUGGGAUAUGCUGUUUCAGAAAGCCUUAACAUCCCACAUUUCUUAAAGGUCUUUUAAAAAGGUCAAAUCGUGAAAUCAUGCAAAUUUUUCCCUUUUAGUUAGAAAACAAGGAUCUAUGAGAGAGAAAAUUUUUAUUUGUUAUGAGCAAUAUUCUUGUGGUUAGGAUGAUCCAAAUAUUUAUUUAGCAACAGUGGUUAUGUGGUAGCACAGGUAACCUUCCAAUCAAUGCCUAGUUCUCAAUUAUUAGUACUGAUCUCCACCAGCCUCUAAAUAUCCUCUUCCCUCAUUGAGAACAGGAAUAAGCUAUUC